This 375-nucleotide unclassified non-coding RNA is filed under the name soil metagenome. Its description in RNAcentral is "partial contains 5.8S ribosomal RNA, internal transcribed spacer 2, and large subunit ribosomal RNA". The stretch from base 1 to 120 matches the Rfam family "5.8S ribosomal RNA", at positions 35 to 154 of the family's 154-position model. The record is from RNAcentral.
GAUGAAGAACGUAGUGAAAUGCGAUAAGUAAUGUGAAUUGCAGAAUUCAGUGAAUCAUCGAAUCUUUGAACGCAUCUUGCGCUCCUUGGUAUUCUGAGGAGCAUGCCUGUUUGAGUGUCAUUAAAUUCUCAACUACACUGACUUUGAAUUGGUGUGGCUUGGAUUUGGGGGGAAAAUUGUUGUGGGCUUUUUGUAUAGUCUGCUCCCCUGAAAUUGAUUAGCGGUACCUUUGUGGAACUGUCUACAGGUGUGAUAAUUAUCUACAUCUUAGACAUCUGCUGGAAUGCUGCUCUCUAAACCUUACUUGUAUUGACAAUCUUGACCUCAAAUCAGGUAGGACUACCCGCUGAACUUAAGCAUAUCAUAAGCGGAGGA